GCUGUAGAUUAAAGCCUGUUAUUAUUUAUUCGUUGACGACAUCAUUCCAUUCUUAUAUAUUUAAAGAUGUUACAAUCGUAGUUAUAUCAUUUCCGCAUGUGUGCCAUCAUUUAUCACUUCUUGUGGGUGUUGUCUACAAAUGAUCAAAUCAGGAUCGUGACUGAUCAGUCAUCUAGGCAUCUUAAUCGACAGCAGACGUAAAAUAUUUAUGGAGAAAAUUCUAAGAGUUUGUUUUCUAGAUGUUGUUUGUCAGGCGUUGUUUAUCUGACAUUUCUAUAUAUAUUGGCGCACGUGUUGGAGAGUAAGAUAUGUGCUAAACGAUGAGUGAUAGUCUGCAAUCGUGAAUCUGGCAAUUAUGAAGUCGUUUCUAGUGAUCCUAAUGGUACUGACCGUUUCCAUACUGUUUGCAACGUCGGUCGAAGGGCAUACAAUCAUAUUUCGUCCGUUGUUUGUCUACAAAAUGCAGCAAGCGAAAAAACGAGAGCGUCAGAAGAUUCGUGAGUGGAACAGGCUGCAUCCGAAUGAGAACUACUAUGAUUUCCAUAAACCAGCAAACAACUUUUAUUACUAUUAUUAAGAUUUUGAAUGAGAUUUUUAGUAAAACGAUAAGAUAUAUUUAAUUAGAUUAAGUAUUCAAGAAUGUCACAUUUAAUGUUUUUCGAAAUCUUUAAACUGGAACAAUAUCAUGAUGUAAGUGACGAUAGCUGCAAACGUCUGUGAAGUAAAAUUAUUCUCAGGUUGAAUAAAGAGAAACAGCAAGAACUUA
Long non-coding RNA from Armigeres subalbatus, 766 nucleotides. RefSeq lists it as uncharacterized. The transcript has 3 exons. The record is from RefSeq and is a predicted model, not a curated record. NCBI's taxonomy places the organism in Eukaryota, Metazoa, Arthropoda, Insecta, Diptera, Culicidae.